Molecule: ribosomal RNA, 254 nt
Filed under: uncultured bacterium
Lineage: Bacteria
Description: partial 16S ribosomal RNA
Rfam family: Bacterial small subunit ribosomal RNA
Source: RNAcentral
UACGUAGGGUGCGAGCGUUGUCCGGAAUUAUUGGGCGUAAAGAGCUCGUAGGCGGUGUGUCACGUCGGCCGUGAAAACCUGCAGCUUAACUGUGGGCGUGCGGUCGAUACGGGCAUCACUGGAGUUCGGCAGGGGAGACUGGAAUUCCUGGUGUAGCGGUGAAAUGCGCAGAUAUCAGGAAGAACACCCGUGGCGAAGGCGGCUCUCUGGAACGCAACUGACGCUGAGACGCGAAAGCGUGGGGAGCAAACAGG